AGCAAAGGAUUCUUUUGC
Molecule: non-coding RNA, 18 nt
Filed under: Rattus norvegicus (Norway rat)
Lineage: Eukaryota; Metazoa; Chordata; Mammalia; Rodentia; Muridae
Source: RNAcentral